RNAcentral lists this transfer RNA (85 nucleotides) under Felis catus (domestic cat). It matches the Rfam family "tRNA". Rfam says of the family: Transfer RNA (tRNA) molecules are approximately 80 nucleotides in length. Their secondary structure includes four short double-helical elements and three loops (D, anti-codon, and T loops). The record is from Rfam by way of RNAcentral. Lineage: Eukaryota; Metazoa; Chordata; Mammalia; Carnivora; Felidae.
ACCUGGGUGGCUCAGUCAGUUGAGUGUCUGACUUCGGCUCAGGUCAUGACCUCACAGUUUGUGAGUUCGAGCCCCGCAUCAGGUC